This 188-nucleotide microRNA precursor is filed under the name Oryza brachyantha (malo sina). RNAcentral's name for it is "MIR812 microRNA precursor family". It matches the Rfam family "MIR812 microRNA precursor family". Lineage: Eukaryota; Viridiplantae; Streptophyta; Magnoliopsida; Poales; Poaceae. The record is from Rfam by way of RNAcentral.
AAUAAACCAAUUUUUCACUUUUCACAUACAAUUUUUAACUCUUCGUCUUAUUCAAUUUUUUUACGAUUAAUAUUUUUGUUUUUAUUAGAUGAUAAAUCAUGAAUAGUGCUUUACAUAUGACUAAUUUUUUUCUAAUUUCCUAAAAUUUUUUCAAAUAAGACGUACAGUCAAACGCACGAAAACCAGAG